GGGCUCCACUCCAGUCUGGACCAGGGGAACUGGUGUUUCUGCAGGUACAAUAGCUUGAGCAUUCUGCCACCCGCCCCGGGAAAGCCCGUGUGUGAUGUGGCCGCCAAGGCCAAGGCCCAGAGGAACCUGUCUGGGGACCUUCUGCAGAGUGGAGGGCUGCCGGUGGUCAGCAAAGGUGUGUUGGGGUGGUGGCAAGGUGCUGCUGCACUUCAUCCAGAAGUCUCCAGGCCACUGUGUCCCCCAGGAGAGCAUCCUGCAGGCCCUGGCAUCUCUGCAGAGGUCUGUGCCAGCCAGCCACUCCCGGUGAGCUGAGACCUCGGGAGGACCACCACUCCCUGGGCCGGCAUGGGGCGUGGCGUGGCGUGGCAUGGCGUGGCCACACACCGA
Molecule: long non-coding RNA, 387 nt
Organism: Dipodomys ordii (Ord's kangaroo rat)
Lineage: Eukaryota; Metazoa; Chordata; Mammalia; Rodentia; Heteromyidae
Exons: 3
Source: RefSeq, a predicted model, not a curated record